GACGAACGCUGGCGGCGUGCUUAACACAUGCAAGUCGAACGGAAAGACCCUGCUUUUUUCUUGUUUUCUAGUGGCUAACGGGUGAGUAACACGUGAGUGACCUGCCCUUGGCUGGGGGAUAACUUCAGGUAACUAGGGCUAAUACCACAUAGUAGCGCCGCCUGCAUAGUGGGGGUUGGAAAGGUUCGGCGGUUGGUGAUGGACUCGCGGCUUAGCAGCUUGCUUGGGGGGUAGUGGCUUACGAAGGCUUUGACGGGUAGCCGGCCUGAGAGGGUGACCGGGCACAUGGGUACUGAGAGACGGACCAGAGUCGUACGGGGGGCAGCAGUGGGGAAUAUUGCACAAUGGGCGGAAGUGUGAUGAGGCGACGCCGGGUGCGGGAUGAAGGCCUUGGGGUUGUGAAGGGCUUUCGGUUGUGACGAAGCGUGAGUGACGUUACUGGGUAAAGAAGCACCGGCUAACUCCGUG
This 468-nucleotide ribosomal RNA is filed under the name uncultured bacterium. Its description in RNAcentral is "partial 16S ribosomal RNA". It matches the Rfam family "Bacterial small subunit ribosomal RNA", at positions 28 to 507 of the family's 1533-position model. The record is from RNAcentral.